ACUCCUACGGGAGGCAGCAGUGAGGAAUAUUGGUCAAUGGAGGGAACUCUGAACCAGCCAUCCCGCGUGUAGGAAGACGGCCUUAUGGGUUGUAAACUACUUUUAUACAGGAAGAAACGUACCCUCGUGAGGGUGCCUGACGGUACUGUAGGAAUAAGCACCGGCUAACUCCGUGCCAGCAGCCGCGGUAAUACGGAGGGUGCGAGCGUUAAUCGGAAUGAUUGGGCGUAAAGGGUGCGUAGGUUGUUAUUUAUGUCUCGUGUGAAAGUCAAUGGCUCAACCAUUGAAAGCCAUGAGAAACUGGAUAACUAGAGUACUGUAGAGGGUAGUGGAAUUUCUGGUGUAGCGGUGAAAUGCGUAGAUAUCAGAAGGAACAUCAGUGGCGAAGGCGACUACCUGGACAGAUACUGACACUGAGGCACGAAAGCGUGGGUAGCGAACAGGAUUAGAUACCCUGGUAGGCUCUG
RNAcentral lists this ribosomal RNA (467 nucleotides) under uncultured bacterium. RNAcentral describes it as "bacterial SSU rRNA". It matches the Rfam family "Bacterial small subunit ribosomal RNA", at positions 335 to 799 of the family's 1533-position model. The record is from RNAcentral.